This 2900-nucleotide ribosomal RNA is filed under the name Escherichia coli DEC3B. RNAcentral's name for it is "bacterial LSU rRNA". It matches the Rfam family "Bacterial large subunit ribosomal RNA". The record is from RNAcentral. Lineage: Bacteria; Pseudomonadati; Pseudomonadota; Gammaproteobacteria; Enterobacterales; Enterobacteriaceae.
UAAGCGACUAAGCGUACACGGUGGAUGCCCUGGCAGUCAGAGGCGAUGAAGGACGUGCUAAUCUGCGAUAAGCGUCGGUAAGGUGAUAUGAACCGUUAUAACCGGCGAUUUCCGAAUGGGGAAACCCAGUGUGAUUCGUCACACUAUCAUUAACUGAAUCCAUAGGUUAAUGAGGCGAACCGGGGGAACUGAAACAUCUAAGUACCCCGAGGAAAAGAAAUCAACCGAGAUUCCCCCAGUAGCGGCGAGCGAACGGGGAGGAGCCCAGAGCCUGAAUCAGUGUGUGUGUUAGUGGAAGCGUCUGGAAAGGCGCGCGAUACAGGGUGACAGCCCCGUACACAAAAAUGCACAUACUGUGAGCUCGAUGAGUAGGGCGGGACACGUGGUAUCCUGUCUGAAUAUGGGGGGACCAUCCUCCAAGGCUAAAUACUCCUGACUGACCGAUAGUGAACCAGUACCGUGAGGGAAAGGCGAAAAGAACCCCGGCGAGGGGAGUGAAAAAGAACCUGAAACCGUGUACGUACAAGCAGUGGGAGCCUCUUUUAUUGGGGUGACUGCGUACCUUUUGUAUAAUGGGUCAGCGACUUAUAUUCUGUAGCAAGGUUAACCGAAUAGGGGAGCCGAAGGGAAACCGAGUCUUAACCGGGCGUUAAGUUGCAGGGUAUAGACCCGAAACCCGGUGAUCUAGCCAUGGGCAGGUUGAAGGUUGGGUAACACUAACUGGAGGACCGAACCGACUAAUGUUGAAAAAUUAGCGGAUGACUUGUGGCUGGGGGUGAAAGGCCAAUCAAACCGGGAGAUAGCUGGUUCUCCCCGAAAGCUAUUUAGGUAGCGCCUCGUGAAUUCAUCUCCGGGGGUAGAGCACUGUUUCGGCAAGGGGGUCAUCCCGACUUACCAACCCGAUGCAAACUGCGAAUACCGGAGAAUGUUAUCACGGGAGACACACGGCGGGUGCUAACGUCCGUCGUGAAGAGGGAAACAACCCAGACCGCCAGCUAAGGUCCCAAAGUCAUGGUUAAGUGGGAAACGAUGUGGGAAGGCCCAGACAGCCAGGAUGUUGGCUUAGAAGCAGCCAUCAUUUAAAGAAAGCGUAAUAGCUCACUGGUCGAGUCGGCCUGCGCGGAAGAUGUAACGGGGCUAAACCAUGCACCGAAGCUGCGGCAGCGACACUGUGUGUUGUUGGGUAGGGGAGCGUUCUGUAAGCCUGUGAAGGUGUACUGUGAGGUAUGCUGGAGGUAUCAGAAGUGCGAAUGCUGACAUAAGUAACGAUAAAGCGGGUGAAAAGCCCGCUCGCCGGAAGACCAAGGGUUCCUGUCCAACGUUAAUCGGGGCAGGGUGAGUCGACCCCUAAGGCGAGGCCGAAAGGCGUAGUCGAUGGGAAACAGGUUAAUAUUCCUGUACUUGGUGUUACUGCGAAGGGGGGACGGAGAAGGCUAUGUUGGCCGGGCGACGGUUGUCCCGGUUUAAGCGUGUAGGCUGGUUUUCCAGGCAAAUCCGGAAAAUCAAGGCUGAGGCGUGAUGACGAGGCACUACGGUGCUGAAGCAACAAAUGCCCUGCUUCCAGGAAAAGCCUCUAAGCAUCAGGUAACAUCAAAUCGUACCCCAAACCGACACAGGUGGUCAGGUAGAGAAUACCAAGGCGCUUGAGAGAACUCGGGUGAAGGAACUAGGCAAAAUGGUGCCGUAACUUCGGGAGAAGGCACGCUGAUAUGUAGGUGAAGUCCCUCGCGGAUGGAGCUGAAAUCAGUCGAAGAUACCAGCUGGCUGCAACUGUUUAUUAAAAACACAGCACUGUGCAAACACGAAAGUGGACGUAUACGGUGUGACGCCUGCCCGGUGCCGGAAGGUUAAUUGAUGGGGUCAGCGCAAGCGAAGCUCUUGAUCGAAGCCCCGGUAAACGGCGGCCGUAACUAUAACGGUCCUAAGGUAGCGAAAUUCCUUGUCGGGUAAGUUCCGACCUGCACGAAUGGCGUAAUGAUGGCCAGGCUGUCUCCACCCGAGACUCAGUGAAAUUGAACUCGCUGUGAAGAUGCAGUGUACCCGCGGCAAGACGGAAAGACCCCGUGAACCUUUACUAUAGCUUGACACUGAACAUUGAGCCUUGAUGUGUAGGAUAGGUGGGAGGCUUUGAAGUGUGGACGCCAGUCUGCAUGGAGCCGACCUUGAAAUACCACCCUUUAAUGUUUGAUGUUCUAACGUGGACCCGUGAUCCGGGUUGCGGACAGUGUCUGGUGGGUAGUUUGACUGGGGCGGUCUCCUCCUAAAGAGUAACGGAGGAGCACGAAGGUUGGCUAAUCCUGGUCGGACAUCAGGAGGUUAGUGCAAUGGCAUAAGCCAGCUUGACUGCGAGCGUGACGGCGCGAGCAGGUGCGAAAGCAGGUCAUAGUGAUCCGGUGGUUCUGAAUGGAAGGGCCAUCGCUCAACGGAUAAAAGGUACUCCGGGGAUAACAGGCUGAUACCGCCCAAGAGUUCAUAUCGACGGCGGUGUUUGGCACCUCGAUGUCGGCUCAUCACAUCCUGGGGCUGAAGUAGGUCCCAAGGGUAUGGCUGUUCGCCAUUUAAAGUGGUACGCGAGCUGGGUUUAGAACGUCGUGAGACAGUUCGGUCCCUAUCUGCCGUGGGCGCUGGAGAACUGAGGGGGGCUGCUCCUAGUACGAGAGGACCGGAGUGGACGCAUCACUGGUGUUCGGGUUGUCAUGCCAAUGGCACUGCCCGGUAGCUAAAUGCGGAAGAGAUAAGUGCUGAAAGCAUCUAAGCACGAAACUUGCCCCGAGAUGAGUUCUCCCUGACCCUUUAAGGGUCCUGAAGGAACGUUGAAGACGACGACGUUGAUAGGCCGGGUGUGUAAGCGCAGCGAUGCGUUGAGCUAACCGGUACUAAUGAACCGUGAGGCUUAACCU